UAUGCCUUGCACUACUUUGAAUACAAAUUAUUUUUACUUUAUUAACUGUUCAAUAAAGAUUUUAAAAUAAAUCUGCAGAGCACACGUCUGACUCCAG
This is a long non-coding RNA of Lepidothrix coronata (blue-crowned manakin), 97 nucleotides long. RefSeq lists it as uncharacterized. NCBI's taxonomy places the organism in Eukaryota, Metazoa, Chordata, Aves, Passeriformes, Pipridae. The record is from RefSeq and is a predicted model, not a curated record. The transcript is spliced from 3 exons.